AUUGAACGCUGGCGGCAGGCUUAACACAUGCAAGUCGAGCGAGCGGCGGACGGGUGAGUAAUGUCUGGGAAACUGCCUGAUGGAGGGGGAUAACUACUGGAAACGGUAGCUAAUACCGCAUACCAUCAGAUGUGCCCAGAUGGGAUUAGCUAGUAGGUGGGGUAAUGGCUCACCUAGGCUACGAUCCCUAGCUGGUCUGAGAGGAUGACCAGCCAAUCUUAAACGUAGACACGGUCAAGACGCCUACGGGAGGCAGCAGUGGGGAAUAUUUCGCAAUGGGCGCAAGCCUGAUGCAGCCAUGACGCGUGUGUGAAGAAGGCCUUCGGGUUGUAAAGCACUUUCAGCGAGGAGGCGUUACUCGCAGAAGAAGCACCGGCUAACUCCGUGCCAGCAGCCGCGGUAAUAC
RNAcentral lists this ribosomal RNA (406 nucleotides) under uncultured bacterium. RNAcentral describes it as "partial 16S ribosomal RNA". It matches the Rfam family "Bacterial small subunit ribosomal RNA", at positions 30 to 526 of the family's 1533-position model. The record is from RNAcentral.